Molecule: ribosomal RNA, 114 nt
Filed under: Acanthosepion pharaonis
Lineage: Eukaryota; Metazoa; Mollusca; Cephalopoda; Sepiida; Sepiidae
Source: RNAcentral
UUACGGCCACAUCUAGUUGAAACACCGUUUCCCGUACGAUCACCGAAGUUAAGCAACGUCGAGCCUGGUCAGUACUUAGAUGGGUGACCGCUUCGGAAUACCAGGGGCUGUAAG